GACGUAGGGCGCGAGCGUUGUCCGGAUUUAUUGGGCGUAAAGCGCGCGUAGGCGGUUACUUAAGUCGGAUGUGAAAGCCCUCGGCUUAACUGAGGAAGUGCACCCGAAACUGAGUAGCUAGAGUACGAAAGAGGGUCGCGGAAUUCCCGGUGUAGAGGUGAAAUUCGUAGAUAUCGGGAGGAACACCGGUGGCGAAGGCGGCGACCUGGGUCGAGACUGACGCUGAGGCGCGAAAGCGUGGGGAGCAAACAGG
This 253-nucleotide ribosomal RNA is filed under the name uncultured bacterium. RNAcentral's name for it is "partial 16S ribosomal RNA". It matches the Rfam family "Bacterial small subunit ribosomal RNA", at positions 524 to 776 of the family's 1533-position model. The record is from RNAcentral.